CCACAAGCAAGGCUGAGUAUACUAAUACUCAGCUAGACUUACCCGGUGUGAGGAGUCUACUCCUCUACCUCUAGACAUGCAGCUGUUUGGCUGAGGGGUUUGGUUUGCCAAAAGCACUAGCUGAGUCUAAAAUCAAGUUUUAGCUUUUCAAGUUUUAGUAUGAUCCUUUUAAACUAGAUGAGUACCUAGCUAUUCAUACAUGGUAUCAAACAUUUUAUCAAUCAACAUCUUUUGCCAGUCACCUCAUUUCCACUUAUUACUCAAUGUAGCAGCAUGGAUCAAGCAGUCUCAUUAGCUGCGAGAAGCAGACGAUUCGAAUCGAGUUUUUAUCCUUGCAAGGUAAACCUAAACACACGACGUGGCGAGGCACUCCGUCCCCACACACAUCAAUCGUCCCCAUCGAUUCCCCGUCAGCAGAGAGGGGCUCACCGCCUUGGCGUACAAUGCCUCACUGACCCCGACUGCCGUCGUGCAGUGACCGCACUUGUACCCACCAUAACCGGAAUGGGAGACCACGUCUCAGGUCGCAUGAGGAGGGCAAUCUGCUGUCAGGUUCACUCAGGUACUAGGCUUACCGAUUUACCAUAUUUCUCGGCAUGUGCUUAGUACGUUCAAACGCUUGACACACGGUACCACACCUUAAUCCUUAUUCCAAUUUCCGUCUCGUAGACAACGCAUCCCCAUGGACCGUUGUCCACAGACCAAUCAUUAUUCCGAUAUAAAAAUGGAUACAACCAAUUCCUGACCUCGCGCGAGUGCUAGAAAAAUCACUCGACUUCUACCGAGAUCCCUAAUUAGUAAAGCAGCUACUCGACCUAGCAUACUAGUAUCCAUCUCAAAAGGAAUCCUGAGUUCAUGCAACUAGGGUUUCAGUCAACUCCUACACUCAAGUGCACAGUACAAGCCUACAAACAUUAAGUGUAGUAAAAUAGCAUAUAUAUAAACGGUUAUGCAUAAAACCGGGGCUUGCCUUUAAUUUAACACUUAGGGAGUGUUUGCUGGGGAGGUACUCGCUUGGCGAGCAUCUACUGGUCAUGUCCACCAUUCUUCCUUGGGUCGUCCACCGACUGCACCUUGUGGUUGGCACCACAUCACUUGCACGAUCGUCUCUCGGUCCUAAAUGAGAUGCAAGAUGCAUAUGUAUGAAUAUAAUGAAAAAUAUCACAAGAUACUGCAAGCACAUGAUAGCGAACUAAGCAUUAAUUAGUAAAACACUGCAACGACUAUACGCACGCGCUAGCUAGUCGUACGUUAUCGACAUUCAUCCUUAACACCAUUAAAAAGACGACGAUAUUUUAGAUACUUACGCAACACAAUAAUACAUCACAAUUAACUAGAGAAAGAAACGUAUAAAAACAUGGCACAUAUAUUAUCUCUAGCUUAACCAUGGCAAGUCUAUAUUACUUAAGAGCAAACCAAACAUUUUUAGCGAGAAGGGUGAACUAAACAAUCAAAAGCGCACUAGCAGAAUUUUUGGACAGCAAUACAGCAGUCGCUAGUUUUAAUCAUAACUCUUCAAAUAUUAAUCCAAAAAUAGCCAAUUAAGACUUUCUGGAAAGCUUAAAAAGUGAACUACAACUUUGGUAUUUUUACCUCUACAGGAUUCAGCUGUUAGCAAGGUCAAAAAGUGCAAUUACAGCAGCACUGUCCAGAUUUGGACAGAUUCUGACUUGCAACUUCAAAAAUUCACAACUGAAGAUUCAGGCAUCCAAACAAGGUGAUCCUAGACUUUCUGGAAAGGUAAUAAAAUUGUCUACAUAUCAUUUAUAAACAUCUUAAGGUGAUUCAAUAUUUAACUAAGGAUAAAAUACACUAGAAGGCUUUGCUGUCCAGAAUUGGACAGAUUCAGUCUUCAGAGUUUAAACAUCCUUAACUUAAUCUUCAGAUCACCAAAAAUAGUGAUCCAAGACUUUUUGGAAAGCUUAGAAAAAGUCCUACAUAACUUUUAUAAUCACCAAGAAGUGAUUCCAGUUUUACUCAAAUCAAAUAUUACAGUUUUCGAAAUCUGUUCUGACAGAGGACAGAACACAGCAAUCGGUUUGUAAAUUUCAUAACUCUUAAACCAUCAGGCCUUUAGUUAUGAAAUUUUAACACAAGCAAGAUCAGAAAAUCAUCUACAACUUUCUUAUAACCUACAAGGACUGAUUCAAACAUUAACUUAAGCAAACAGUACAGUCUCUGAAAUCUAUACAGAAAUUGGACAGAUUCAGUUACUGACUUUGUAAAAAGCAUAACUCCUAAACUGUCAGUCCUAUGGCUGUCAAAUUUUAACAAAAGUAAGAUAAUAAAGUUAUCUACCACUUUUCUAUAGCACAUAUCUACAGAAAAUACAAUUUAGUUCAUCAAACAUACAGCACAACUAAAACAGUGCGUGCAGCCCAAAACAGAAAUUAAUAAAUUUCAGCUCCUAUACAAUUCAAGAAUUGUCAUGUUCUAGAGACUUAAAUCAUUCUAACACUUUGACAAUUGUUAGAGUUAAAAUAACUAAGUGAGAACUAACAUGUAGACUUACUAAUUUUUAUACAAGUUAUUUUGCGCACUAAAAGUACCAUACUCAAUUAACAAUGCAUUAUCUAUAUCAAUCAAUAUCGAAGCGCUUUUCACCAAUAGUUUGCAUUUUAAUUUAGACAUCACCUAAGCACUACUACUUUUCAUUCGCAACCAUAACCAUACACAUUUAGACCACAACAAGCAAUUCAUCGCGACUACAAACUUAACCAAAGCCAUCUAACAAGUCGGCUAGCCAGAGAAACAAUAUAGGCCGCUAUACAUCACACGCGCCGGCUAGUCUAUUAUUAUCGAAAUCUGAGACACAACAUGUAUAUGACAAUCACUUAACGAGAUCGACUCCUACUUAACAUGAGUUGGUUAAUCGCAGUAUUGGACUUAGCGAACCAUUUUAGACAUCACAACUCAAAAACAUGGGUUGGAGCAGAUUAAUCAGCUUUUCCUAAUCAUUGCUCAACUUAAAGUUGUUACUACACAGGUCAUUUAAAAUGGCACAUUUUUGGGAUCUAACAUAGAGGCAAUUACACAUGGCGUAAAACUCCAUAAGACUACAUUUGCUACUGAAGGACCUGAAGCACUUAUGUGCAUAUCUUAACGGAUUGUUCUUCAAUUUUAACAAGGGCCGACUUAUGAACGCUACUCGCCUCCAAUAAUUAUUGGGCUGCGAUAACGCUCGUAUAAGACCUCUAAUCGAUCAACAAGACAUUUAUUUAUCCAAAGGGGCAUGGAAUGUGAUAAUUGACAAAGCAAAGCAUCACAUUGCCAUACAACAAAAAUCAUGAGAACACCGAUAGAUACUAUCCACUAAUCGUUUGAAAAAUUAAACUUACUUCUCGCUUGCCACUACAUCACUCCUUAAUCACACAACCAUCAUGAGCAUCCUUCACACGAUCAUAUAAUAGCGAUCUAAGCGUCGUGUCACAAUACAUACAUCUUUCCUCACUGCGAGUAUAACCACAUCGCGGCAUAUACCCGCACACCUCAAACAAACAUCUCACGCCACCACUACUAUAUCACACCACGGCACUCACACACCUACGUGCACUAAUUAAAUCCUCGCAUCCCACAUAUUUCCAAUUUACCCAUCACAUUAAACAACACAACAUGUUUGCUUACCAAAACGUGAAGGCAACCUUGCUACGGCCUAUAACCAAAACAUUUUUAUACCCACACACAUUCCAACACCAAUGUACACCACAUCGACCAAAAUAUAAUUAUACAACUACGAAUCGCACAUAUCAACAACCGCUUGUUCUUUAAUCGCAAACGCGAUCCUACCAAUGCGCAUAAUCGAAUGCUUCACACACAUCCACACAUAUACAUGCACUGCCUGACAUAAACCAAAUCAUACAUAAUGUAAACUAUAAAUCAAUCAACCUGAACGGGAUCAGAUUUGAGUUGUGCAAGCACGUGGUGCACCCGACCGGUCUUGUAUCAAACAUGCGUGCGCGACGACUGGCAUUGACGGCUAGCUGCGAUUAGACACACACACAACCGUUCAACAGUUUUACCGAGCACAAAAGAAAAAUAAAAAAGCAGCAGUGGCAGCGAGGGUUUUCUCACCACGGGUUUCGACGACGACGCGCGGGGGCUACACAGAUCGACAGCGAGUGGCCCGACCUGGCGGGCGCAACGCAGCGGGGGGUGCAUCGCUGCUGCUACGGCUUUGGCAUUUUGUCAAACACGACGCAAGCACGACAGCGCAGGGAGUACACUGUUGUCGCUUGGCGGGUUGAGGAGUAUGGGGUGGCUCUAGGGAGGGAGCUCCUUGCUGCAGGCAUGCAUGGGAGAGGGACGCCUGCACUUGGGGAGGGCGCUGGCUGGGAGAGGGGCUCGGCCAUGGCAAGAACAGAGAAGGAGGAGGGAGAUGUGCUGCUGUUGGGCGCCGGCAAGGGGAAGCUGCAGGGGUGGCGCCCAUGGGAUCUUCUCCCACUGCGCCAGGGAGGAGAUGGGAGCAGAGAGCUUGGGCGCCAUGGCUGCUGGGCGAAGCUGGGGCUCGGUCUGCAACAGUGGGGGUCGGCAAUGGGGAAGAAGCUCUCUGCUGGAAAUUCAGGGCGCCAUGGAGCAAGAAGCAGAGGAAGCCGUGACCAAGGGGAGAGAAGGGGGCGCUGUGCACAGGGGGUAGGGGGAGGCGCCUGCUGGCUUGAGGAAGAAGGGGAGGAGGGCGCCAUGGAUCAGCGCUCGCCCACGCCAUGGACAGCAGAGGGAAACGUUGGGGGAGCUCGAUUACUGGCCGACCAUGGAGAAGACGACUCCCUGCUGUAGCCGCUCGCCAGGAGGAGGAGCAGGGAGGGGCGCCGAGGGAGGUGCUUGCUGCUCGCCAGAAGGGGGCGCCGGCCAUGGAGAGGAAAAGAGCCGUGCUCCCUGUUGCUGCUGCCGUGGGAUGCCUGCUGCGCGAUGGAGAAGAAGACAGGGAGGCUGCUGUGGCGGCUGGAAAAAAAAUGAGGGGUGGGAAUGCAAAAUAGCCCAAGUGCAAGGAGAGAGGGCUGCUAUUUAUAGAGAAACCCUAGGGCUAGGGUUGCUUAGUGGGCUGGGCCGGGCUGGGCCAAAACACGUUAUCGGGCUGCGCUAAAUUAUUUUUUUGAAUAAAAAUGCUCCCGCGGAAUUCGUUUCUACAGAGAACAGAGCGAAUUAGAGUUUCGGCGAAUGGACAAUUGAGCGAUUAAUUCGGCCGAGAGUUGGAUUUGAUUUCGCUUGGAAAUAAUUCCUCGCGCACUAUUUUAGAAAUAAAUGUUUCUCUCAGAUUUCUGAUCGACUUUGAAUUUUAGUCGGAGAAAGCGAAUUGUGACAUUUUAAAAUCGCUGUCGGAGUGAGUUUUGAAUUCGGUUUAGGUACAAAGAUACUAGGCUGAGUCGAGUAAGAAUUAAUUAGAGGGCGACAUGCUGAGUAUUCCGUUUAAGAGUACGGACUCGGAUAAAAUAGUCGGACACAGAUCAACGUUCGAGGAAUUAACUCGGGCUCAGACCAAAUAACAGCCGUCGAGAGUUUGAUUUAGAGAGCUUCAGAUGAGAUUUAUAAAUCGAGAUUGACCAUCGAGUUUGCAUUCGUUCCGAGAAUAAAAGUUUUAACACGCUCCAAAUUGGUUGUUUCUCGCGAUCGAUUAACUCCGAAUUCGGUGAACUUCCAACAGAAAGCCUGAUAGACAGAGAUAGACACGAUCGAGAAAUAGAAAUUUUCACUGAGCAUUCGCGUUAGGGACAAAUCUCCCAACAUAACACGAAACUGACACCUGGGGUGUCACAGCCUUCCCCCCUUAAAAGAAUCUCGUCCCGAGAUUCGAAUGAGGAUCUUUAAGGGUGGAGAAGCAUGUAACUCCCAGGCUGGAGAUAGAUGCAAAUUCAUGAGAGGGUAUCUGACACGAUACGAAAGAUAGAUUUGGAUAGAAUAUCGCGGCAUGUUGAGACAAAAUGCAGCGAUCAGUCUGGGAGAAUAUCCACAAAAGAUAGCACAUCAGUAUAGUCUCGUAAUGGAUCACGACUAUUAACCGCGAUACCAGCGCGUGCCGAGAAGCUCAACCUUGUGUGCGCGCCCACAAGAGGCUCUCGGUUUCGUCGCGGCACCAUCAGUCGUUUAGUCAUAACACCAUUACCAGACACAACCAACGAUAAAUCCACGUGACAUAAAUAGAUGGAGCCCAUGAGAGUAUGGCCCAGAAAAUAAGAAUGUGAUUAGAGUUGAAGCAGAGAUUGCUGGCAAAAGAGCAUCACAUAAGAACUUUCUUCAACUCAGAGAAUUAUUUUAUGAUUAAUACGGAGAUUAUCAGGUCAGAGAUUUAUACGAGAGUGGAUAUGAGGGGAACCAACCAUGAGAUCAAGAUUGGCAACUUGCUGAGACAUGAGAGAACCAAGGUCAACAACAUAAUCCAUUGAACCAAAUGGAUACACUGCUUAGAGAUAGAAUCGAUAAAAUGGCGUCAUGAUUCUUGGAGGAGCAUGAGAUCGACCAGAAUUGAGAGAUUUAGGCAAGAUCAACAUCAGAUACUUGAGAACGGGUUAUAGCAGAUGACCAGAUAAUGGGGCAGAAUCAUUAAAGGAUCCCGGGAUUCGGAUGAUAAAGCCAACAUGAUUCAUAAGAAAAAGGAUUACCAGAUCCAGGUGAAAGGAGAGGUAGUCACAUGAGAUCGAAUUAGGAUGAGCACCAGAAAGUUUAUGAAGAUUCGGGACAGGUUCUAUGGAAGGAAACAGGGCUUGGACAUGGUUUGCGCAACUAGACACCAAACGAUGUUUUUUUACACAACAAGUGCACAAGGAGACUUGGGUUGGUCUAGCCGUCUAGCGGUCAAGCUGUGGGGGUCUAUAAGUUGUGUAGGUGUAAAUUCAAGGGUAGAACACUCAAGGGCUAGAAAAUACCACACAAGCAUGAAAAUUUUUUAAGAGGUUUCACUUGCUAAAUUCAAGGUUGUUUGGGUGGGGAUCUUUUUAUGAACAGAACAAGCAACAAAAUGUUUUGCAAAAAGGGUUGAACAAUUACAAUACCACCUAGAUAGCAAGACAAGCGAAACACAUAGCAUUACCUAACAAGACUUGCCAAUCUGACACGAGAUAAGGCAUUUCUAACAUAGAAGUACAUCACAUUAUUCACAAGUUCUUAUCAUUGGAAUAAAGGUGAGAGAAGCAUGUUGAUGCACAAGAGACAAUUAUAAUGCGACAAUCAUGAUGCAUGCUCAUUCUAGUUGUCUUCUCAGACCUAACUAGUUUUUCGGAUGCUUCUACAGCAUCCUUCUUAAUAGUAGUAGUAGCCUUUAUGACCUAUAUAAAUAGCCACCUAGUUACCCAUCUAUUUCCUAAGGCUUCACGUCCUAGGUCUAUCCUUAUCAUCCUGACGAUCUAUCCAACUUGGUUUCUAAGCAAAUUUUACUUUAGAAAAGGUUGGUAAUCAUGACUUAUUGACUUCUCUGUACUGGUAUUCGCUCCGAUACCAGCUGUGGCGGAACCGCCCGAAUUAUUCCAGCUUAAGUGCCCAAGUCGCACCCUUAAGGGCAGCAACACACUUAAACAGGAAUAACCCAUUAGUCGCUCGGAUCUAGUCCGAUAAAGCCACUUAACCAGGAUCGAAUACCACUAGCUCACUCGAAGGUGAGGCACAGAGAAAUACAAUAAAGCAUAAUACCAUCAAUUUAAUAAGUAUCAGUAAUGAUUACAUUAUCGGAGUUUCAGAAAUAUUAACUAUAAAUUUUAAUGCAGCGGAAAUAACUAACGAAGAAAACCGAGCAACAUGGCGAAGCCUGGCCACGCUACUCCUCCUGGUCCUCUCCUGCGGAAGCAGUAACCCACUCAACCGUCUAUCCCGGUGGCAGGGAUGGAGGCCAAGUCACACCAUCAACCAAUUCAACCUAAGGAGUACCUGCAAAAAUUAUGCCACAAGCAAGGCUGAGUAUACUAAUACUCAGCUAGACUUACCCGGUGUGAGGAGUCUACUCCUCUACCUCUAGACAUGCAGCUGUUUGGCUGAGGGGUUUGGUUUGCCAAAAGCACUAGCUGAGUCUAAAAUCAAGUUUUAGCUUUUCAAGUUUUAGUAUGAUCCUUUUAAACUAGAUGAGUACCUAGCUAUUCAUACAUGGUAUCAAACAUUUUAUCAAUCAACAUCUUUUGCCAGUCACCUCAUUUCCACUUAUUACUCAAUGUAGCAGCAUGGAUCAAGCAGUCUCAUUAGCUGCGAGAAGCAGACGAUUCGAAUCGAGUUUUUAUCCUUGCAAGGUAAACCUAAACACACGACGUGGCGAGGCACUCCGUCCCCACACACAUCAACCGUCC
Molecule: long non-coding RNA, 8261 nt
Filed under: Zea mays
Lineage: Eukaryota; Viridiplantae; Streptophyta; Magnoliopsida; Poales; Poaceae
Description: long non-coding RNA (ZMAY_LNC005314)
Source: RNAcentral